UGAGGCUAAAGGUCUGAGGCUAAAGGUCUGAGGCUAAAGGUCUGAGGCUAAAGCUCUGAGGCUAAAGGUCUGAGGCUAAAGCUCUGAGGCUAAAGGUCUGAGGCUAAAGGUCUGAGGCUAAAGCUGUGGCCUACGUCACAGGAGUUUCCCCGAAGGUCAAAGGUCAUCUCCCUGACGUAGGGAUCUCUUUCUAUCGGGAUAACUCUAACCCGAUUAUAAGGAUAAAGGCAUCAUUGGAAGAGGCAGCGUCGCCCACUCUCCUCUCUUCAAGUCACUCCGAACGCUCGCGAGGAGACAACAAUCUCUUUAAGCUGGUCGGGUGAAGAAAAAGAGAGAGAGAGAGAGGAGGUGGAGCUACAGAAUGAGGAAGAGGAGGUCAGAGAAGGUCAGUCUGGUGAUUCAUACAACACAAAUAUUCAAAGUAGACGCAAAGUACAUCGAACCAAACCGUGAACACGGUGAUGUCAUAAUACUGUUUAGAGGCGGUGAGCGACCGUUUAGUUCUGUGUUGCCACCGGCAACUCCUUCAGAUGCCAACAGACGGGAUUACUAUGCAGUUUUAACUCAGUGCAGUCAGUUUGAAUCCAGUUUAUUUGACACAGCUCAAUAUCACAAAUUACAAACUCCCCUCGGAGGGCUCUACAAUCUGUACGCAGACGACAUCCCUGACCUUUGACCUCACAUCGGAGCAGGAAAAUCUCACAAAAAAUACAGAAAAAAACCCUUCAAAAGUGAAGAAACCUUCAGGAGAGCAGCAGAGGAAGAUCAAUGAAGCGAUACAGAUAACAUACUUCACAUGUGUGUUCAUGUACACACGCCUCUGCACACGCACUUCAGGGGACGACAUUUACACAUUUUUUAGAGGGCAGUUUUUCCCCAAUGACUGAAAUCCAGGGGCAUUAAAAAAAGAAAUUGGGGGCACAUAACAUUUAACCUUUGUUCAACAAUAAAUAAAUAUACUUAAUUAGGCUUACAGUGUAUGAGCAACUGUCGUAAAAAUGGCAAUAAUAAGACUAUUAUGCAAUAAUAAGACUAUUGCAUAAUAAGACUAUUAUGCAAUAAUAAGAAGUAUUUUCUUAGAUUAUUUUUAACAGAAAACCUAAAUCAGACAAUCAUAUUCAAUGUUAUCAUUAUUUCUUUGUGGUUAUUUACUGUUAUUACAUUUUUUAUACAACUAUUAACAUAUUUCUUGAAUUUUUUUUUUUUUACAAAUUAUAUUUAAAUUAUAUAUUUUUCGUGUACCUACCUGGUACCGAAAAUACAGAGAGGACACACACAACAAAAACAAAACGCUAUUAAAUUAUCAGAAUUAUUAGAGGAAAUUACGGGGUUAAUCUUUAGUGACAUCAGGGGCCACAUUAUAUCUCUUAGGGGCAGUUUUGACCUUUGCCCUCGUGAGUUUCCGACGCUGCGGUCGAGUAAUGAGCUUCCUCUCCAUUUUUUUCCUUUCCCCCCCCCUUCAUCCCUCGCUCAUUAUUCCAGAGCGAAGUGUGUCCUCGUCGUAUCUUUUGACGUUAUUAGAAGAUAAUUAUACAGACAGAAUAGAGCCAACUUAAUAAAUAUAUAUUUAUAGAAAGAUGGAAUUUCGAGCUCCGGACAUCCCACCAAACUAAAAACUGAAAUUUAAACUUUAAAGCCUUUUUUUCCUUUCUUUUUUGUUCUCUUUAAUUUCGCUAUAUUUCUACACUAUGCAACACGCGGCGAGGAACACGACCACGCAGUACACGCACGCCGCAGACAGAGGGCGUCUGCGAUCCUCGGUCAAAGGUCAACGUCUUCACCCCCAAAUCCCUCGCCGUCCAAUCGGCAGCCAGAUUUGGCGGAGGCCGAAAGCAGAGCUGUACGGUAUCGACCAAUAAGAGACCCCCGAAGCCACUCGGCGGCCUCCGCGAAGGCAGGAAGCGCGCCUCGCCGAUCCUUUCAUCCGGAAGGAUCUCCAGACGAUCAGCAGCUGCCGGAGAGAAAGACCCACGGCCUCGACCUCCGAGGAAGAACUUCUGAGAACAUCUCGGAGACGACGAGAUGGCGAGCGGCACGGACGUUGUUCUGAUCCGCCGAAAAGAAGAAAGAAGUGCACGUGGAGACAGGGCUGGGUCAUGGUGGCCAUGAUGGAUUUGCAUGAAGAUGGAGUAAAAAACGUUGGAAUAUUGCUUUAUUUCCUAAUUAUCUGAUAGAGAGACAUAUUUUUGCUGAGAUAUAUUCAAAUAUUUGGGAUUUAUGGAAGAUUUUCCACCCUUCAAAUGAAGUCCACGCCCACUUUCUGGAGAAGGGAGUAAAAGAACGAGGGAUUUAUUUACAUGACUGGACGGCCGAGACGUUCAAAACUACGAUUCAAGCUUUAAUAAUGCAAAAAAAAGUGACGAGCGACACCUGCUGAGCACAGGAUGACGUAACCGUGACGAUGAUUUCUUCUGGGAGGCCCCAAAGUGAGAAAGACGUUAUAUUUUACAGAUGGUUUUUACCAAAAAAAAGAGGAAAAAAAGUGUUAUAAAACAUACGCUCACGGAUACAGACGGAGGAGGACGAUGAAACACCCCCCAGACAAUACAUGAGAAAUAUGAACAUCUCAUGAAGAAGAACUGGAUAUUAAAGGUGAAGAUUGCGACAUGCAUGGCUACCAGCAGAUUUCUCUCUUUCCCAUCACUGUCGACCUCGUGGAGUCACACGUUCGCCUCUCCACGAGUCAUUUAUGUCAUAAAAAUAACAGCAUCUGAGGUUUAUUAAUGAAUAUUUUUCGGGGUUUGAAUCUAUAUUUCAUGUUAUUUUUUCUUCCAUAUGUCAUGUUUAUGUUGUAUUUGAUGGAAUUCAUCACGGUUCCUUAUCUUACAAGGACGUUUUGUAAAGAAGGACCUUUUUUUAAUUUGAACUUCUGUAAUAUAUCUUCAAUAAAUUGAUAAGAAUGUGAGAAG
This is a long non-coding RNA of Pseudoliparis swirei, 2909 nucleotides long. RefSeq lists it as uncharacterized. The record is from RefSeq and is a predicted model, not a curated record. NCBI's taxonomy places the organism in Eukaryota, Metazoa, Chordata, Actinopteri, Perciformes, Liparidae. The transcript has 2 exons.